AGGUGAAUUUAUCGAAAUGACUGCUGACCUAUGGAAACAGAUGACUUGUGUUUGCUCACACCAGAACUAAAUGUGAUCUAGUCUUAUCAGCAUUCUUUUUAGUAUUGUUGAGACAGUACAGUAAAAUGGUCACAGAAAUAGUUCAAAGAGUUUUGAAGUACUUCAGAGUAAAUGAUUUCUCUCUUGUACAUCUGUGCUCUUGUGCAGCCUCUAAGCUGAACAGUUCCUCUAAGUAUAGUUUUAUGCCAAGUGUUGUUUCCUAAGCAAAGCUGUGGGUUUUCCUGAACUGGAGUUAUCAGUAAUUUUCAUGGGUUCCUUUGGACAGAAUAAAUCUUUUCUGAAUCUUUUUGACAGCUGACUUCUGGAGUUGGACACAAUGCCAAUUGAUAAAUAUCCUUUAUUAAGAAAAGGAAAAUUCUUGAUUUCUGAAGUGCAUGGCACAUUUUAAUUUAGCAGUCCCUUUUUAAUAUGAUUUGCACCUGGUAGGUAAUGUCCUUCUAUAAAUAUCACUAAAGUGAUCACAAUUUAUAUAAAGGUGUGUGUUUUCUUAUGAAAAACUACAGAAGGCUUCUUUUGAUCUAUAAUACCUCUUCUCUGUAGUCUGUAAUGACAACCCAGAAGUGCUGUGUUGAUUUUACUUCCUCCCCUGUCAAUAGGCUUACCUUUGGAUGGCAUUCUUACUGCCACAUGUGAGCAUGGCACAGGAAAUCACACCAUUGCCAUUGCCCUGCAGAGUGGCAGUGAAAGGAUUGCUGCUGUGUUUGAGGGGCACAGACUAGCCACAGAGCCUCCAACAUCCCAGCUAUCUGUGAUCUUAAAGCACAACACCUCAAAGAUAAAGAAACUUGGGAUCCCUUUUGUUUUAGAAGCUGCUGGCUAUUAUGAGAAUUUCUCCAGAAAGAUUGCUGUGGGGAUAACAACCACAGUGGAGACAGAGCAGCUCAAGAUUGAAAUAGAGAAGAAAACCACUGACACUGCUAUGGAAAUUUCUCUUUCGCUUCACCAUGAUGUGGGAGGACUGAUGGACAUUUUUCCAUGUGUACUAGAGGUUUGCAAAAAUCCUGCCAUAGAUUGUAAUGUAUUUAGUGCACUAAACACUAAACUGUUUAUCUUUUUGAAGCACAACUCUAAUGCUUAAUCUUAAAUCUACGUUUUGGUGCCUUCAUUCAUUUGAUCCUUAAAGCAGCUCUGUCACUUGCUCCUUUGAAUUUUAGUCCUCCCUGCUUUUCUUCAUACUCUGAAUGCUUUUUAUUGACAACAUCAACAGGUUGCUUGCAGUGCAGAAUCUGCUGACAAACAACUUUCUGGCCUUUGCAAUGGUGCAAUUGCAUUUCAUCAUUCUGAGGUACUGGCUUCAUUUAUAAACUUUACUCUCAACAAUAUAGUGCUUUAACUCCCAUGAAGGGAAUUUAAGUACUGAAAGUGUCAGGCACGUAGAAAUGGAUUUGAGCUUCCUGGAAGUUUUGUGUGCACUUUCAAAUAUUUUUACUCUAUUAAUUAGGUUUUCUAAUUAGGUUUAAAUAAUUAGGGUUUUUUUCCUGUUAUUUCUAUUAUGAAACUCCAAAAUAAAGAUUUGGGUCCAUCUCUCCAUUUGUUUCAGCAUUUAUAAUUAUAUAGGAUGAAUACAAAAUGGUGAAGGCAACAGUUCUCUUUUAGUAAUAUGAGCUUUUAAAAAUAGCAUGUGAUCUGAUAGGAAAGCAAACUUGACAACUCUUUUCUGUAAUUUUUCAGGCUCCAGCAAGAGUUUCACUGAAUGGGUCAAUAUUUACCAGCAACUUUACUGUCAUCCUCUUUGGACACGUUUCUUUUCAUGACAUAUUUGCCUGCCUGCAGCUCUAUGCCACCACUAACACCCAUCCUCAUUUAGAAAUCAACUUCCAGCAUUCUUUGCCUUCACUUCAUUCUCUGGGAAUUGCCAAAGAGAACCAACUGAAGGUGUUAGCCAUGAGAAGUGACAAGUACAAGGGCAUCCUUGGUGUUGUCCUAGGGCCUUGCACUUUGGAAGCUGAUGGGGAAGUGAGCCUGGCAAGCAAUGAGACAGGAUGGGUACUUGCUUUCAGAAACAAGUGCGUCAGUCUAGAGGUAAGCCCAGAUUGUUUUAUGCAUGCCCUUCCAGUCUGUGUUUUUCAGAUCACUGAGUCACAGAAAACUGUCUCCUGACACAUUUAUGGAUAGGCCAAAUUUAGUCACUAAAGUUGUUCUGGCAGAGCAAUGAGUCAGAGCACUUGCAGGGGGAAGUGUAUUUGAAUAUCAUAAUUUGGAGUAAUACAAUGGUAA
Long non-coding RNA from Ficedula albicollis (Collared flycatcher), 2277 nucleotides. The record is from Ensembl. NCBI's taxonomy places the organism in Eukaryota, Metazoa, Chordata, Aves, Passeriformes, Muscicapidae.